Molecule: ribosomal RNA, 253 nt
Filed under: uncultured bacterium
Lineage: Bacteria
Description: partial 16S ribosomal RNA
Rfam family: Bacterial small subunit ribosomal RNA
Source: RNAcentral
UACGUAGGGGGCAAGCGUUGUUCGGAUUUACUGGGCGUAAAGGGAGCGUAGGCGGAAGGGUAAGUUAGGAGUGUAAUACACAGGCUCAACUUGUGUCUCGCUUUUAAUACUGCUUUUCUUGAAUAUGGGAGAGGGAAAUGGAAUUCCAGGUGUAGCGGUGGAAUGCGUAGAUAUCUGGAAGAACACCAGUAGCGUAGGCGAUUUCCUGGCCCAAUAUUGACGCUGAGGCUCGAAAGCUAGGGGAGCAAACAGG